GAGAGAGGGAACAAGAACAAGUUUUACUUUAAGGAACUGAUCCAUGCUAUCCUGGAGGCUGGCAAGUCCACAGACCUCAAUGUGAACUUGCAGGCAGGAGACUCACAGGCCUAAUCUUGCAGCUCAAGUCAAAGACUGUUGUUGGCAUGAUCAGAUUUCCUCAGGGAGAGAGGAAGUCAGAGGUGAAGAUGGCCACACCCACAAAGAAAAUGACUUCUGGGAGUGUCAGACUAACAAAAAGACCUGGAAUCAUUUUAACCAGGACCGGAUAAGUCAGCUGGACUGGACAAGCACACCCAACAAAGUGGCUGUGUACAGUUCCAGGCCUGGAAGUACGAAUUUAUGGAUGGGAGCAGACACACCCAUGUGGAUGUGGUCAGAGGGCCUUGUUUGAUUGGCUGAAGAAAUGACACUUUUAGGGCUUAUCUAUUUGGAUGUCUCUGCUCUGAGACAGGGUGGAAAGGACAGAUCUGUGGUAUGUAUCCUUCCUGUGAAGCAAAGAAAUCAUGGGAGAGUCUUUGUCAGGAAAAAGACAGAUGGGGUCCUUUGAGAUGGCUCAGUGGAUAAAGGCACCUGCCUACAAGCCUGAGGACCUGUUUCCAUCCUUGAACCCACGUGGUAGAAGGA
Molecule: non-coding RNA, 627 nt
Organism: Cricetulus griseus (Chinese hamster)
Lineage: Eukaryota; Metazoa; Chordata; Mammalia; Rodentia; Cricetidae
Source: RefSeq, a predicted model, not a curated record